This 465-nucleotide ribosomal RNA is filed under the name uncultured bacterium. RNAcentral describes it as "partial 16S ribosomal RNA". It matches the Rfam family "Bacterial small subunit ribosomal RNA", at positions 28 to 507 of the family's 1533-position model. The record is from RNAcentral.
GACGAACGCUGGCGGCGUGCUUAACACAUGCAAGUCGAACGGAAAGGCCCUGCUUGCAGGGUCCUCGAGUGGCGAACGGGUGAGUAACACGUGGGUGAUCUGCCCUGCACUUCGGGAUAAGCCUGGGAAACUGGGUCUAAUACCGGAAAGGAGCCAUUUUUAGUGUGAUGGUUGGAAAGUUUUUUCGGUGUAGGAUGAGCUCGCGGCCUAUCAGCUUGUUGGUGGGGUAAUGGCCUACCAAGGCGGCGACGGGUAGCCGGCCUGAGAGGGUGGACGGCCACAUUGGGACUGAGAUACGGCCCAGACUCCUACGGGAGGCAGCAGUGGGGAAUAUUGCACAAGGGGCGCAAGCCUGAUGCAGCGACGCCGCGGGGGGGAUGACGGCCUGCGGGUUGUAAACUCCUUUCGCUAGGGACGAAGCUUUUUGUGACGGUACCUAGAUAAGAAGCACCGGCUAACUACGUG